Molecule: ribosomal RNA, 514 nt
Filed under: Colletotrichum siamense
Lineage: Eukaryota; Fungi; Ascomycota; Sordariomycetes; Glomerellales; Glomerellaceae
Description: eukaryotic LSU rRNA
Rfam family: 5.8S ribosomal RNA (bases 154-307)
Source: RNAcentral
ACCCUUUGUGACAUACCUAUAACUGUUGCUUCGGCGGGUAGGGUCUCCGCGACCCUCCCGGCCUCCCGCCUCCGGGCGGGUCGGCGCCCGCCGGAGGAUAACCAAACUCUGAUUUAACGACGUUUCUUCUGAGUGGUACAAGCAAAUAAUCAAAACUUUUAACAACGGAUCUCUUGGUUCUGGCAUCGAUGAAGAACGCAGCGAAAUGCGAUAAGUAAUGUGAAUUGCAGAAUUCAGUGAAUCAUCGAAUCUUUGAACGCACAUUGCGCCCGCCAGCAUUCUGGCGGGCAUGCCUGUUCGAGCGUCAUUUCAACCCUCAAGCUCUGCUUGGUGUUGGGGCCCUACAGCUGAUGUAGGCCCUCAAAGGUAGUGGCGGACCCUCUCGGAGCCUCCUUUGCGUAGUAACUUUACGUCUCGCACUGGGAUCCGGAGGGACUCUUGCCGUAAAACCCCCAAUUUUCCAAAGGUUGACCUCGGAUCAGGUAGGAAUACCCGCUGAACUUAAGCAUAUCAA